UCUUUUUAAACAGUUAACUUAAUAAUCCACGAUUUUUUGAGCGGGUAAGCGCAAAAUUUGAUUACCCCCUGUGCUCCCCUUUCCGUUUUGCACAGAACAGGCGCAUUGCUAAAAUGGCAUAGAUGGCUCUGGGGGUGCCGCUCUGAACUCCUAUAAAGCCUGACAGCCGCCAGCUGUUUCUGGAAACACAUUUUUGUGCUGAAAGCAAUCGCCGCUUCGAAACUCGCAGCCUCCUGUGACAACGACAACACUAGGACAGAAUUCCCGAUGUUUUUCUCAAACUUCUUUCCUCUGACAAUGGUGAAGACUCAGGACGCUCAAACGACGACCGAACAACCCACGGAGCAGCCCAAAAAGCUGAAACCGUGCUGUGCUUGCCCGGAAACCAAGAAGCCGAGAGACCAGUGCAUUAUUGAAAAAGGUGAAGAGAACUGCCAAGACCUUAUCGAGGCGCACAAGGAAUGCAUGAGGAAAAUGGGAUUCAACAUUUGAUCGACCUUGUACUGGUUCUCCGUUAAAUUAAAUUAUACACAUCAAGAGGUUGUAUGUACAUAAUAUAUAGGUGUAGACAUUUUUGUAGAUAAAUUUAUCAAUUCACCUUUGCCAAAGUCAUCUGUUCUCAAUGUUAAUUUAAUAACUAUGUGUUAAAAAAAAUACAAAAAUAUAUUUCACUUGAAUUUA
Molecule: long non-coding RNA, 681 nt
Organism: Neocloeon triangulifer
Lineage: Eukaryota; Metazoa; Arthropoda; Insecta; Ephemeroptera; Baetidae
Exons: 2
Source: RefSeq, a predicted model, not a curated record